GGGCCCAUAGCUCAGUGGUUAGAGCAGUCCGCUCAUAACGGAUUGGUCGCUGGUUCGAUCCCAGCUGGGCCCA
RNAcentral lists this transfer RNA (73 nucleotides) under Ktedonobacteraceae bacterium. RNAcentral describes it as "tRNA-Ile". It matches the Rfam family "tRNA". Rfam says of the family: Transfer RNA (tRNA) molecules are approximately 80 nucleotides in length. Their secondary structure includes four short double-helical elements and three loops (D, anti-codon, and T loops). Lineage: Bacteria; Bacillati; Chloroflexota; Ktedonobacteria; Ktedonobacterales; Ktedonobacteraceae. The record is from RNAcentral.